UACGGAGGAUCCAAGCGUUAUCCGGAAUCAUUGGGGUUUAAGGGUCGGGUUAGGCGGUCGUUAUAAGUCAGUGGUGAAAGCCCAUCGCUCAACGAUGGAACUGCCAUUGAUACUGUAAGACUUGAAUGCUUAGGAAGUAACUAGAAUAUGUAGUGUAGCGGUGAAAUGCUUAGAUAUUACAUGGAAUACCAAUUGCGAAGGCAGGUUACUACUAAGUGAUUGACGCUGAUGGACGAAAGCGUGGGGAGCGGAACAGGAUUAGAUACCCGGGUAGU
This 275-nucleotide ribosomal RNA is filed under the name uncultured bacterium. RNAcentral's name for it is "partial 16S ribosomal RNA". It matches the Rfam family "Bacterial small subunit ribosomal RNA", at positions 524 to 794 of the family's 1533-position model. The record is from RNAcentral.